RNAcentral lists this ribosomal RNA (327 nucleotides) under uncultured Pantoea sp. RNAcentral describes it as "bacterial SSU rRNA". It matches the Rfam family "Bacterial small subunit ribosomal RNA", at positions 1070 to 1397 of the family's 1533-position model. The record is from RNAcentral. Lineage: Bacteria; Pseudomonadati; Pseudomonadota; Gammaproteobacteria; Enterobacterales; Erwiniaceae.
AAAUGUUGGGUUAAGUCCCGCAACGAGCGCAACCCUUAUCCUUUGUUGCCAGCGAUUCGGUCGGGAACUCAAAGGAGACUGCCGGUGAUAAACCGGAGGAAGGUGGGGAUGACGUCAAGUCAUCAUGGCCCUUACGGCCAGGGCUACACACGUGCUACAAUGGCGCAUACAAAGAGAAGCGACCUCGCGAGAGCAAGCGGACCUCAUAAAGUGCGUCGUAGUCCGGAUUGGAGUCUGCAACUCGACUCCAUGAAGUCGGAAUCGCUAGUAAUCGUAGAUCAGAAUGCUACGGUGAAUACGUUCCCGGGCCUUGUACACACCGCCCGU